CAAUAACUUAGUUCAAAAAGCUUUUGAAAUGACUACAUUAGUGUUCAUGCCAAUAUAGUACCUUUGGAACAAUGAUACAUCAAUAGGAACCAAGUAAUAGACUUUCUAUACAAUAACGAUGUAAUAAAGACUCAUUGGUACAUCAACAAUGUGUUUCAGAAUCAUCAAUAUCACAACAAUGAAAUAGGAGCCUUUUGGUAUAUCAAUGAAACAUUUUGACACUUUAUAGAAUGGAAACAACUUCGUUGGUAAUGUAGAACAAUACAUGUUUUUGGACAACCUCGGAAUCUUACUUGAUGGAACAUUGGUGUUUUCAUGCCAAAGAACAUUGUUAGAGUAUGCUUUACAUACC
This 352-nucleotide long non-coding RNA is filed under the name Capsicum annuum. RNAcentral describes it as "long non-coding RNA (CANN_LNC003261)". Lineage: Eukaryota; Viridiplantae; Streptophyta; Magnoliopsida; Solanales; Solanaceae. The record is from RNAcentral.